AAAGCCUUCGGGCGGUAUAAGAUGGCCAUGCGUCCCAUUAGCUUGUUGGUAAGGUAACGGCUUACCAAAACUACGAUGGGUAGGGGCCCUGAGAGGGGGAUCCCCCACACUGGUACUGAGACACGGACCAGACUCCUACGGGAGGCAGCAGUGAGGAAUAUUGGACAAUGGAGGAGACUCUGAUCCAGCCAUGCCGCGUGCAGGAAGAAUGCCUUAUGGGUAGUAAACUGCUUUUAUACGGGAAGAAAAAAGAGUACGUGUACUCUACUGACGGUACCGUAAGAAUAAGGACCGGCUAACUCCGUGCCAGCAGCCGCGGUAAUACGGAGGGUCCGAGCGUUAUCCGGAAUUAUUGGGUUUAAAGGGUCCGUAGGCGGGCCGAUAAGUCAGGGGUGAAAGUUUGCAGCUCAACUGUAAAAUUGCCUUUGAUACUGUUGGUCUUGAGUUAUAGUGAAGUUGCCGGAAUAUGUAGUGUAGCGGUGAAAUGCAUAGAUAUUACAUAGAACACCGAUUGCGAAGGCAGGUGACUAACUAUAUACUGACGCUGAUGGACGAAAGCGUGGGGAGCGAACAGGAUUAGAUACCCUGGUAGUCCACGCCGUAAACGAUGGAUACUAGCUGUCCGAGGCCUUGAGUCUUGGGCGGCCAAGCGAAAGUGAUAAGUAUCCCACCUGGGGAGUACGUUCGCAAGAAUGA
This 696-nucleotide ribosomal RNA is filed under the name Maribacter sp. SRO_17. RNAcentral describes it as "bacterial SSU rRNA". It matches the Rfam family "Bacterial small subunit ribosomal RNA", at positions 202 to 897 of the family's 1533-position model. The record is from RNAcentral. Lineage: Bacteria; Pseudomonadati; Bacteroidota; Flavobacteriia; Flavobacteriales; Flavobacteriaceae.